RNAcentral lists this ribosomal RNA (503 nucleotides) under uncultured bacterium. RNAcentral describes it as "partial 16S ribosomal RNA". It matches the Rfam family "Bacterial small subunit ribosomal RNA", at positions 28 to 507 of the family's 1533-position model. The record is from RNAcentral.
GACGAACGCUGGCGGCGUGCUUAACACAUGCAAGUCGAACGGUGAAGCGCUUUCCUUUUUGGUUGGUGUGGAUGAGUGGCGAACGGGUGAGUAACACGUGAGUAACCUGCCCCCUUCUUCUGGAUAACCGCAUGAAAGUGUGGCUAAUACGGGAUAUUCUGCGCCUGCUGCAUGGUGGGUGUGGGAAAGAUUGUGCCUUUGGGUGUUUUCGGUGGGGGAUGGGCUCGCGGCCUAUCAGCUUGUUGGUGGGGUGAUGGCCUACCAAGGCGGUGACGGGUAGCCGGCCUGAGAGGGUGGACGGUCACACUGGGACUGAGACACGGCCCAGACUCCUACGGGAGGCAGCAGUGGGGAAUAUUGCACAAUGGGCGCAAGCCUGAUGCAGCGACGCCGCGUGAGGGAUGGAGGCCUUCGGGUUGUGAACCUCUUUCGCCAGUGAAGCAGGCCUGCUCCUUGUGGGUGGGUUGACAGUAGCUGGAUAAGAAGCGCCGGCUAACUACGUG